UGGCUAUGAAUUUUUACACACACUUGUAUAAGUCAUAGAAUGAAUAAAGUUAUAGCGCGGAACAACGUUAACAAAUACAACUUGCAGCAACGGAACUCUGGGCUCUCGCAUCGAUGAAGAACGCAGCGAAAUGCGAUAAGUAAGGUGAAGUGCAGAAUUCAGUGAAUCAUCGAAUCUGGGAACGCACCUUGCGCUCCUUGGUAUUCCGAGGAGCAUGCCUGUUUGAGUGUCAUGAAAUUCUCAACGGCUUCAGCUUUUGUAGCUGAAGUGAAGUUGGAAUUGGAGGAAGAUGGCUGGCGUGACUUUGGUUGCUUGUCGGCUCCUCUUGAAUGCAUGAGCUAUAUCCAGUGGAACAUGGUGAAGCACCAAUAUGAAAAUUAUCUAUGUUGGAUGUGAAAGCCAUUGAGCAGAGGUUCUGUUAUCAGAAUCUCCUACAGGAAAGCUGUGUCUCGGUUAUAUAGACCUGUUGACAAUAUAAAUGACAAAUUUGACCUCAAAUCAGGUAGGACUACCCGCUGAACUUAAGCAUAU
RNAcentral lists this unclassified non-coding RNA (531 nucleotides) under uncultured Pseudotomentella. RNAcentral describes it as "sequence contains ITS1, 5.8S rRNA gene and ITS2". The stretch from base 79 to 232 matches the Rfam family "5.8S ribosomal RNA". The record is from RNAcentral. Lineage: Eukaryota; Fungi; Basidiomycota; Agaricomycetes; Thelephorales; Thelephoraceae.